Molecule: ribosomal RNA, 249 nt
Filed under: Candidatus Daviesbacteria bacterium
Lineage: Bacteria; Candidatus Daviesiibacteriota
Description: partial 16S ribosomal RNA
Rfam family: Bacterial small subunit ribosomal RNA
Source: RNAcentral
UCUUACACCCUGGGCCACAAACACACUACAAUGGCGAAUAACAACGAGUUGCAAGCUAGUAAUAGCAAGCUAAUCUCUAAAAUUUCGCCUCAGUUCAGAUUGGGGUCUGCAACCCGACCCCAUGAAGUCGGAAUUGCUAGUAAUCGCGGAUCAGCGUGCCGCGGUGAAUACGUUCUCGGGUCUUGUACACACCGCCCGUCUUAAUUAGGCGGCCUAAGGAUGUGAAUCUUUAGGUAAACCAGCUAAUAU